CUGGAGGUAUCAGAAGUGCGAAUGCUGACAUGAGUAACGAUAAGGGGAGUGAAAAACUCCCCCGCCGAAAGACCAAGGUUUCCUGUCCCAUGUUAAUCAGGGCAGGGUAAGUCGGCCCCUAAGGCGAGGCGGAAACGCGUAGUCGAUGGGAAACAGAUUAAUAUUUCUGUACUUCUAUAUAUUGCGAAGGAGGGACGGAGUAGGCUAAAUGAGCACGGCGUUGGUAGUCCGUGUGAAAGAAUGUAGGCGGGAGACUUAGGUAAAUCCGGGUUUCUAUUCAACGCUGAGACUCGAGACGAGUAUCCACGGAUAUGAAGUCAUUGAUGCCAUGCUUCCAGGAAAAGCUUCUAAGCUUCAGAUAUAUAGGAACCGUACCCCAAACCGACACAGGUGGUUAGGUAGAGAAUACUAAGGCGCUUGAGAGAACUCGGGUGAAGGAACUAGGCAAAAUAGUACCGUAACUUCGGGAGAAGGUACGCUACUCAUGGUGAUGGAACUUGCUUCCUAAGCUGAGAGUAGUCGAAGUAACCAGGUGGCUGGAACUGUUUAUUAAAAACACAGCACUGUGCAAAAUCGAAAGAUGACGUAUACGGUGUGACGCCUGCCCGGUGCCGGAAGGUUAAUUGAUUGGGUUAUCUUCGGAGAAGCUCAUGAUCGAAGCCCCGGUAAACGGCGGCCGUAACUAUAACGGUCCUAAGGUAGCGAAAUUCCUUGUCGGGUAAGUUCCGACCUGCACGAAUGGCGUAAUCAUGGCCACACUGUCUCCACCCGAGACUCAGUGAAAUUGAAUUUGCGGUUAAGAUGCCGUAUACCCGCGGCUAGACGGAAAGACCCCGUGAACCUUUACUAUAGCUUGACAGUGAACAUUGCUCCUACAUGUGUAGGAUAGGUGGGAGGCGUUGAAACCGAGUCGCUAGAUUUGGUGGAGCCAACCUUGAAAUACCACCCUUGUAUGCGUGAUGUUCUAACCUAGGCCCCUUAUCGGGGUUGGGGACACUGUCUGGUGGGUAGUUUGACUGGGGCGGUCUCCUCCCAAAGAGUAACGGAGGAGCGCGAAGGUACACUCAGCAUGGUCGGAAAUCAUGCUAUGAGCGCAAAGGUAGAAGUGUGCUUGACUGCGAGACUGACACGUCGAGCAGGUACGAAAGUAGGUCUUAGUGAUCCGGUGGUUCUGUAUGGAAGGGCCAUCGCUCAACGGAUAAAAGGUACU
Molecule: ribosomal RNA, 1210 nt
Filed under: marine metagenome
Description: bacterial LSU rRNA
Rfam family: Bacterial large subunit ribosomal RNA
Source: RNAcentral